RNAcentral lists this ribosomal RNA (473 nucleotides) under uncultured organism. RNAcentral describes it as "partial 16S ribosomal RNA". It matches the Rfam family "Bacterial small subunit ribosomal RNA", at positions 335 to 799 of the family's 1533-position model. The record is from RNAcentral.
ACUCCUGCGGGAGGCAGCAGUGGGGAAUUUUGGACAAUGGGCGAAAGCCUGAUCCAGCCAUGCCGCGUGCAGGAUGAAGGCCUUCGGGUUGUAAACUGCUUUUGUACGGAACGAAACGGCCUUUUCUAAUAAAGAGGGCUAAUGACGGUACCGUAAGAAUAAGCACCGGCUAACUACGUGCCAGCAGCCGCGGUAAUACGUAGGGUGCAAGCGUUAAUCGGAAUUACUGGGCGUAAAGCGUGCGCAGGCGGUUAUGUAAGACAGUUGUGAAAUCCCCGGGCUCAACCUGGGAACUGCAUCUGUGACUGCAUAGCUAGAGUACGGUAGAGGGGGAUGGAAUUCCGCGUGUAGCAGUGAAAUGCGUAGAUAUGCGGAGGAACACCGAUGGCGAAGGCAAUCCCCUGGACCUGUACUGACGCUCAUGCACGAAAGCGUGGGGAGCAAACAGGAUUAGAUACCCUAGUAGUCCCAUG